CGAAGCAACGCGAAGAACCUUACCAGGCCUUGACAUGCAGAGAACUUCCAGAGAUGGAUUGGUGCCUUCGGGAACUCUGACACAGGUGCUGCAUGGCUGUCGUCAGCUCGUGUCGUGAGAUGUUGGGUUAAGUCCCGUAACGAGCGCAACCCUUGUCCUUAGUUACCAGCACGUUAUGGUGGGCACUCUAAGGAGACUGCCGGUGACAAACCGGAGGAAGGUGGGGACGACGUCAAGUCCUCAUGGCCUUUAUGACCAGGGCUACACACGUACUACAAUGGCCGAUACAAAGGGCAGCGACACUGCGAGGUGAAGCCAAUCCCGUAAAAUCGGUCUCAGUCCGGAUUGGAGUCUGCAACUCGACUCCAUGAAGUUGGAAUCGCUAGUAAUCGUGGAUCAGCAUGCCACGGUGAAUACGUUCCCGGGCCUU
This 430-nucleotide ribosomal RNA is filed under the name uncultured Bacillus sp. RNAcentral describes it as "bacterial SSU rRNA". It matches the Rfam family "Bacterial small subunit ribosomal RNA", at positions 952 to 1382 of the family's 1533-position model. Lineage: Bacteria; Bacillati; Bacillota; Bacilli; Caryophanales; Bacillaceae. The record is from RNAcentral.